Molecule: long non-coding RNA, 1069 nt
Organism: Oncorhynchus tshawytscha (Chinook salmon)
Lineage: Eukaryota; Metazoa; Chordata; Actinopteri; Salmoniformes; Salmonidae
Source: Ensembl
UCAAGAACAGUACAUCAUAGAGUUGAGGAAGAGUUAUGCUAUGCAAUGGGAAGAAAAUCAUACUACUUGAUACCCAUUGAUACCCAACAGUAACUUAGAAUUUACUAAUACCAAUUCAUAUCCAGCAUUUUGUUCACAAAAUCUAAGACUGCAUUGAACUAUGACAGGUACAAGGUAUUCACAGAUCAGCAUACAGAUAGUUCAACCUGAAAAUGUAUUCCAGCUGAAUAUUGUAUUGUGUUCAUAUUUUGUUUGGAAUAUAUUUGAAAUGAAACAGUAUGCUGUAAAGCAGUAGUAUUCAAACUUUUUCAGCGGGGACCCCAUUUAUUUCGCAAUAAUUUCUGGGGAGUUUUUCUACAAGAAAAACUCAUCUUUAAUUCAUUACAUUUUAGUUUAUCAAAAUGAAAGUUUUACUCAAUAAUUUUUUUUCUAAUUAUCUUUCUCAAAAACAUUUAUAUAUAGUCCCAUACAAUAAUCUGUACUCUUAAUCUUUUGUUCCAAAAAUGUUUAUAAAACACUUUUAUUUAAGGGUCUCCCCAGUGGCGCAGAGGUCUAAGGCACUGCUUGAGGCGUCACUACAGACCCGAGUUCCAUCCUAGUGUAACAGUUUAGCUUCCGUCCCUCUCCUCGCCCCUACCUGGGCUUGAACCAGGGACCCUCUGCACACAUCGACAACAACCAUCCUCGAAGCAUCGCUCCACAAAAGCCGUGGCCCUUGCAGAGCAAGGGGAACAAUUACUUCAACGUCUCAGAGCGAGUGACGUCACCGAUUGAAACGCUAUUAGCGCACACCCCGCUAACUAGCUAGCCAAUUCACCUUGGUUACACUAGUCUGUAUCACAACAGGUCAUGAUUGGGAGUCCCAUAGAGCAGCGCACCACUGGCCCAGCGUCGUCCGGGUUAGGUUAUUGUUUGGCCCAGGGGGGGCUUUUCUUGGCUCAUCGCAUUCUAGCGACUACUUGUAGCCUGCAGGCUGACCUCUGUCGUCAGUUGAGCAGUGUUUCCUGGGACACACUGGUGUGGCUGGCUUCCGGGUUAAGUGGGCAGGUGUUAAGAAGCGCGAUUUGGU